Molecule: long non-coding RNA, 497 nt
Filed under: Lupinus angustifolius (narrow-leaved blue lupine)
Lineage: Eukaryota; Viridiplantae; Streptophyta; Magnoliopsida; Fabales; Fabaceae
Description: long non-coding RNA (LANG_LNC003017)
Source: RNAcentral
CGCGAACCACUUAACCAUACCGUCUUCAUUCUCCCUCGAUUCCCCUACCGAAAAAACCCAAACAGCAAACCAACAGUACCGAAGCCAAUCGAAUAAGAAACGAAAAGUGAAGAAGGAGAUGAGUUCACCUUCAUCGGAGCUAAAGAGGAUGUAGGGAUCCCAACCGCGAAUAACCUCCUCGUCCAAGAACCAUCAUCACCUGAACCGCAACCCAUUAGAGUGGAGAAGAAGAGAAGCCCGAACCACCGCGAACCACCGCCUUGUAGUGACAUUACCGACGAAUCACAGUCGCCACCGCAGGAGACGGAACCAAAGAAGGGAAGAGAGGGGACACGACUUAAUAACCGUGUGGUAGGGAAAUACUCCGCUCCUUGUCGCUGCCACCGUCUCACCAUCCUUCGCCGUUGCCGUCGUUGAGAGAGGAGAGGGAAUUGGGUAUUAGGGAUUUCAAUUCCCUUCCAAUUUGGGUUUCUGCGUGAAACCACAAAGGGGAUCCC